RNAcentral lists this ribosomal RNA (467 nucleotides) under uncultured bacterium. Its description in RNAcentral is "partial 16S ribosomal RNA". It matches the Rfam family "Bacterial small subunit ribosomal RNA", at positions 28 to 506 of the family's 1533-position model. The record is from RNAcentral.
GACGAACGCUGGCGGCGUGCUUAACACAUGCAAGUCGAACGGAAAGGCCCUGCUUUUGUGGGGUGCUCGAGUGGCGAACGGGUGAGUAACACGUGAGUAACCUGCCCUUGACUUUGGGAUAACUUCAGGAAACUGGGGCUAAUACCGGAUAGGAGCUCCUGCUGCAUGGUGGGGGUUGGAAAGUUUCGGCGGUUGGGGAUGGACUCGCGGCUUAUCAGCUUGUUGGUGGGGUAGUGGCUUACCAAGGCUUUGACGGGUAGCCGGCCUGAGAGGGUGACCGGCAACAUGGGGACUGGGAACGGGCCCAGACUCCAACGGGAGGCAGAGGUGGGGAAUAUUGCAAAAGGGGCGGAAGCCGGAUGAAGCAACGCCGGGGGCGGGAUGACGGCCUUGGGGUUGUAAACCGCUUUCGCUUGUGACGAAGCGUGGGUGACGGUAAUGGGUAAAGAAACACCGGCUAACUACGU